This 406-nucleotide ribosomal RNA is filed under the name uncultured bacterium. RNAcentral's name for it is "partial 16S ribosomal RNA". It matches the Rfam family "Bacterial small subunit ribosomal RNA", at positions 29 to 526 of the family's 1533-position model. The record is from RNAcentral.
AUUGAACGCUGGCGGCAGGCCUAACACAUGCAAGUCGAACGAGUGGCGGACGGGUGAGUAAUGUCUGGGAAACUGCCUGAUGGAGGGGGAUAACUACUGGAAACGGUAGCUAAUACCGCAUACCCUCAGAUGUGCCCAGAUGGGAUUAGCUUGUUGGUGGGGUAACGGCUCACCAAGGCGACGAUCCCUAGCUGGUCUGAGAGGAUGACGAGCCACACUGGAGCUGGGACAGGGUCCGGACUCCUACGGGAGGCGGCGGUGGGGAAUAUUGGACAAGGGGCGCAAGCCUGAGGCAGCCAUGCCGCGUGUAUGAGGAAGGCCUUCGGGUUGUAAAGUACUUUCAGCGGGGAGACGUUACCCGCAGAAGAAGCAACGGCUAACUCCGUGCCAGCAGCCGCGGUAAUAC